This 603-nucleotide ribosomal RNA is filed under the name uncultured bacterium. RNAcentral describes it as "bacterial SSU rRNA". It matches the Rfam family "Bacterial small subunit ribosomal RNA", at positions 63 to 635 of the family's 1533-position model. The record is from RNAcentral.
CGAACGCUUCUUUCCUCCCGAGUGCUUGCACUCAAUUGGAAAGAGGAGUGGCGCGACUGGGUGAGUAACACGUGGGUAACCUACCCAUCAGAGGGGGAUAACACUUGGAAACAGGUGCUAAUACCGCAUAACAGUUUAUGCCGCAUGGCAUAAGAGUGAAAGGCGCUUUCGGGUGUCGCUGAUGGAUGGACCCGCGGUGCAUUAGCUAGUUGGUGAGGUAACGGCUCACCAAGGCCACGAUGCAUAGCCGACCUGAGAGGGUGAUCGGCCACACUGGGACUGAGACACGGCCCAGACUCCUACGGGAGGCAGCAGUAGGGAAUCUUCGGCAAUGGACGAAAGUCUGACCGAGCAACGCCGCGUGAGUGAAGAAGGUUUUCGGAUCGUAAAACUCUGUUGUUAGAGAAGAACAAGGACGUUAGUAACUGAACGUCCCCUGACGGUAUCUAACCAGAAAGCCACGGCUAACUACGUGCCAGCAGCCGCGGUAAUACGUAGGUGGCAAGCGUUGUCCGGAUUUAUUGGGCGUAAAGCGAGCGCAGGCGGUUUCUUAAGUCUGAUGUGAAAGCCCCCGGCUCAACCGGGGAGGGUCAUUGGAAACUG